AUACGGAGGGUGCGAGCGUUGUUCGGAAUUAUUGGGCGUAAAGAGCAUGUAGGCGGUCUGUUAAGUCUGGUGUGAAAGCCCGGGGCUCAACCCCGGAAGUGCAUUGGAUACUGGCAGACUUGAGUAUGGGAGAGGAAAGCGGAAUUCCGAGUGUAGGAGUGAAAUACGUAGAUAUUCGGAGGAACACCAGUGGCGAAGGCGGCUUUCUGGACCAAUACUGACGCUGAGAUGCGAAAGCGUGGGGAGCAAACAGGAUUAGAAACCCCGGUAGUCC
RNAcentral lists this ribosomal RNA (274 nucleotides) under uncultured bacterium. Its description in RNAcentral is "partial 16S ribosomal RNA". It matches the Rfam family "Bacterial small subunit ribosomal RNA", at positions 523 to 796 of the family's 1533-position model. The record is from RNAcentral.